RNAcentral lists this long non-coding RNA (459 nucleotides) under Ursus americanus (American black bear). RNAcentral's name for it is "lncRNA (ENSUAMG00000002031.1)". The record is from RNAcentral. Lineage: Eukaryota; Metazoa; Chordata; Mammalia; Carnivora; Ursidae.
CUUUGUAGAUGGCAGACCUUUCCUACAGAAGCUGCCCAUCAGAAAAAGGAAACCACAGGACAAAAAGUUGUGUUCAAGAAGGGAACAACAAGAAGGAAAAAAAAAAGUCAACAAUCUUAGAGGCAACCAUUCUUUGCUUUCAAUGGGACAGAAGAGCUCCUUGGCACUGGAACCCUCCUGGUCUGGUGAGGGAGGGAGGAGGGAUGCUCUGAGGACACACAGCCGUCAUCCAGAACUUCCUACGUUCGGAUCAAGGAAAGAGGCGGCGCAGGACGCUUGGAUCGUGUUGCCUGAAGGAUGGUUUGGACCGUGCGAGCGAGUCACAGAAGGGUCUCAUGGGAACAGAAAGUUUUGAGAGAGUUUACUGCUUGUGCAAGAUGACUGGUUGGGUAAAGAAGUCCAAAGUUUAUUAUCUGCAGAACAAAUAAAGCCUGGGCAAAGGUAACUGAAACGAAUGUC